CAGUAGCCACGGUAAUACGAAGGGGGCUAGCGUUGUUCGGAAUUACUGGGCGUAAAGCGCACGCAGGCGGCUCGAUAAAUUAGAAGUGAAAGCCUUGGGCUUAACCUGAGAAUUGCUUUUAAGACUGUCGAGCUAGAAUCCAGAAGAGGGUAGUGGAAUUCCGAGUGUAGAGGUGAAAUUCGUAGAUAUUCGGAAGAACACCAGUGGCGAAGGCGACUACCUGGUCUGGCAUUGACGCUCAUGUGCGAAAGCGUGGGGAGCAAACAGGAUUAGAUACCCGCGUAGUCCCUGUCUCUUAUCC
This 301-nucleotide ribosomal RNA is filed under the name uncultured bacterium. RNAcentral's name for it is "partial 16S ribosomal RNA". It matches the Rfam family "Bacterial small subunit ribosomal RNA", at positions 509 to 809 of the family's 1533-position model. The record is from RNAcentral.